Molecule: non-coding RNA, 2242 nt
Organism: Peromyscus maniculatus bairdii (prairie deer mouse)
Lineage: Eukaryota; Metazoa; Chordata; Mammalia; Rodentia; Cricetidae
Source: RefSeq, a predicted model, not a curated record
CCCAGCAUCACAUGGCCUCUCCGAGCCUGCCCCUCUUCCUCCUCCCCCUCCCCGCGAUGUCAUUACUCACUGGGUGCAGGGGGAGGGGCAAGGGGAUCCCGGGGCUCUUUCCUCCUCCUCCUCCCAUCUGUGGGUCCUCCCUGAGGGCCCCAGGGAAGGAAGGAUGCAGGAAACCGAGGCGAGUGGACCGCGCCCCCCAGAGCACUCACAGCUGGCCCGUCACCUGCGGAAGACUCCACCAUCAUAAUACAUUUGUGUCUCUCAAUCUUGCAAUAGCGCCUCUUAGUUUAGAUAAAAGGCAGUAUAGAGGUCUAUUUAACCCUUUUCAUAAGUAGUGUCAGGAAAUAACCCCAUUUGAAACUGCUGUUUUCUGACUUUCCCCCUCCUAAAGGGCUUCCAACAGCAGAAGGGAAUAAACUACAAUUUAUUAAGCACGUAAGUGCUUCCUCUAGCAGGCACCUCACUAAGGGUUUCACAGCUGUCCACCCUUUGGCCUGUUUUACAGAGGAAGAAAGGAAGGCUCCGAGAAGUGACCUUGCUCAAGGUGACUGGGCUGCUGACUGGUGGGGCCGAGAUUCAAGCUCAAGGCUAGCUGCAUGCAGGACAGGACCGGCUGGUGACUUAGCAACCCUGCAAGCGGCAGCUCAAGCCCUUUAAAGGAAUCUCAGCUCUGUGGACAUGACUUACCCAGAUGAGAAGGGAGAGGUACCAUUAGUGCAAUCCUAGGUUACACCUUUACUCCAGGAGAUGUAGCCAGGUCCACACCAAGGAGUUCUCUAUCCACCCUGAAGACAAAGCAGUGGCUUCUACUGGGCACCUCUUCCCUUUCAGAUCAUGGCCUGAAUACAGACACUUGUGCUACCAAUUUCACUUCAAAUAAUACAGAGGAGGCCAUGUCCAGUGUCAGGCAGUUCCCGGGCUUCAACUGUGGCUACUGGAUUCAGCAACACAAGGUUAUCCAGGAAGAUGGUAAGACGUGCAGGAAGAGAUAGGUUGAACACAUUCCUGCAACUGGUAUCAGAUCAAGAAAUGGAUAUCUGAGGAACUUCAGAAAUUCCUUUCAAAAGUCCCUGGCCUCAUCACGAACUUUUCCCAGCAGCUUUACUAAUUGAUCCCAUUUUUCCACUUAAACCUUCCUGACGUCAUCACACAUUUAAACUGCAAAAUCCAAAUGACAGAGGCCAGCUCACCUGGGGUCUUUCAAGCUUUGAAAGCCUCAAAGAGAAGCUGAGAAGCUGUCACCCUGCGCCCUCUGUUGGCCAGAAGCAGCUAUUAGGAAAUGGUCUCACUGUUAGUGAGGGUUAGUUAGAAUCCAGCUCAGGCUGUGGCCAAUUUACCAGGAACCAGGAGAGGCGAACUGAGUCAGGUCGUUCACAAUGCAUCACCAUAGUAGUCUUUUGCUCCCUAUUCUGUUCCCCCACAUCCGAGGAAAGCAAAUGACUAAAUAACAGAGUAUGACAGCUUUAGGAGCCUACACAGAGGGCAGAAAGAACAGUCAAUCCCUACCUACCCAGCCCUUGCCUAUCCCCCCAAACAAGAGCAUGUGCCCCAUUGCUCAGCUCAAAGGCUGAAGGGAUCAGCUGUCAUUAGCUGGUGAUUCUAAAAUGCCAAUAAACAGCUGGGAGUCUUUGCUGAGAUGACUGAUGGAUGGCUCCAUAAACUUGUUCAUUCAUUCAGUACAGUGGCAGGCCUGUGCAAGACACGGGGACACAAGAUGUGAGUCCUGCUCUGAUGAAGUGAGCACGAAGUGCCAUUGGAGCUCCAGUACAAGGGCAUCUAAACUACACAGGUCCAAGUGGGGCGGCAGGGGCUGAGGGGAGAAAAUGUACCAGGUGUUUCUUGCCAUCCAGAAACUCAGAAUACAGCAGACAAGGAAAAGACAUGUUGAAUAUCCCAGUUAUUUUUAUUUUUUUUUUUGUCAACUUGACCUAAGUUAAGAGUUUUCUGGGAAGAGGAACCUCAAUCGAGAAAAUUGCCUCUGUCAGAUUGCCUAUAGGCAAGGCUGUGGGACACUGUCUUGAUUGAUGAUUAACUGGGGAGGGCCCAGGCCGUUGUCAGUGCCAUUCCUGGGCAAGCCGCCGUCCUGGGGUGUAUAAGCAAAGUGUGCAAGCCAGAAGGAUCCAGCUUGUAAGCAGGCUUCCUCUGUGGUCCGUUUCUGUUCUGCCUCCUGAUCUGAGCUCCUCUUUCCCUCAGUGAACAGGGACCUAGAAUAUGUAAGCCAAAUAAACCCUUUCUUCCCCAA